RNAcentral lists this ribosomal RNA (850 nucleotides) under uncultured bacterium. RNAcentral's name for it is "bacterial SSU rRNA". It matches the Rfam family "Bacterial small subunit ribosomal RNA", at positions 32 to 915 of the family's 1533-position model. The record is from RNAcentral.
AACCAUGGCGGCAGGCCUAAACAUGCAAGUCGAGCGAGAAAGCACUUCGGUGUGAGUACAGCGGCGGACGGGUGAGUAACGCGUAGGAAUCUACCCAGUAGUGGGGGACAACUUGGGGAAACUCAAGCUAAUACCGCAUACGCCCUACGGGGGAAAGCGGGGGAUCUUCGGACCUCGCGCUAUUGGAUGAGCCUGCGUUGGAUUAGCUAGUUGGUGGGGUAAUGGCCUACCAAGGCAACGAUCUGUAGCUGGUCUGAGAGGACGAACAGCCACACUGGGACUGAGACACGGCCCAGACUCCUACGGGAGGCAGCAGUGGGGAAUAUUGGACAAUGGGCGAAAGCCUGAUCCAGCAAUGCCGCGUGUGUGAAGAAGGCCUGCGGGUUGUAAAGCACUUUCAGUUGGGAAGAUGAUGACGUUACCAACAGAAGAAGCACCGGCUAACUCCGUGCCAGCAGCCGCGGUAAUACGGAGGGUGCAAGCGUUAAUCGGAAUUACUGGGCGUAAAGCGCGCGUAGGCGGCUAAGUCAGUCAGAUGUGAAAUCCCCGGGCCUAACCUGGGAACUGCAUUUGAUACUGGCUUACUAGAGGUCGGGAGAGGGUAGUGGAAUUCCCAGUGUAGAGGUGAAAUUCGUAGAUAUUGGAAGAACACCAGCGGCGACGCGCUACCCUGGACCGAUACUGACGCUGAGUGCGAAAGCGUGGGGAGCAAACAGAUUAGAUACCCUGGUAGUCCACGCCGUAAACGAUGAGUGCUAGUUGUCGGGGACAUAGUCCUUCGGUGGACCGCAGCUAACCGCAUUAGCACUCCGCCUGGGGGAGUACCGCCCAGUAAACUCAAGAUGCGAGG